AUACAGGGGGUGCGAGCGUUAAUCGGAAUUACUGGGCGUAAAGAGUACGUAGGCGGUUGCUUAAGUCAGAUGUGAAAGCCCCGGGCUCAACCUGGGAACUGCAUUUGAAACUGAGUGACUAGAGUUUAAGAGAGGGGAGUAGAAUUCCGGGUGUAGCGGUGAAAUGCGUAGAGAUCCGGAGGAAUACCAGUGGCGAAGGCGGCUCCCUGGACUAAAACUGACGCUGAGGUACGAAAGCGUGGGUAGCAAACAGGAUUAGAAACCCCAGUAGUCC
Molecule: ribosomal RNA, 274 nt
Filed under: uncultured bacterium
Lineage: Bacteria
Description: partial 16S ribosomal RNA
Rfam family: Bacterial small subunit ribosomal RNA
Source: RNAcentral